GAUCAUGGCUCAGGAUGAACGCUAGCUACAGGCUUAACACAUGCAAGUCGAGGGGCAUCAUGGAGUUGCUUGCAAACUCUGAUGGCGACCGGCGCACGGGUGAGUAACGCGUAUCCAACCUUCCCUAUAGUAGAGGAUAGCCCGGCGAAAGUCGGAUUAAUACUCUAUGUUUUCCGUUGCAGACAUCUAAGAUGGAACAAAGGCUUGCCGCUAUAGGAUGGGGAUGCGUCUGAUUAGGUAGUCGGCGGGGUAACGGCCCACCGAGCCAUCGAUCAGUAGGGGUUCUGAGAGGAAGGUCCCCCACAUUGGAACUGAGACACGGUCCAAACUCCUACGGGAGGCAGCAGUGAGGAAUAUUGGUCAAUGGGCGAGAGCCUGAACCAGCCAAGUAGCGUGCAGGACGACGGCCCUAUGGGUUGUAAACUGCUUUUAUGCGGGGAUAAAGUUCACUACGUGUAGUGUUUUGUAGGUACCGCAUGAAUAAGGACCGGCUAAUUCCGUGCCAGCCGCAGC
This 513-nucleotide ribosomal RNA is filed under the name uncultured bacterium. Its description in RNAcentral is "bacterial SSU rRNA". It matches the Rfam family "Bacterial small subunit ribosomal RNA", at positions 15 to 518 of the family's 1533-position model. The record is from RNAcentral.